GCCUUCGUGGCGGAAUUGGUAGACGCAGUUGACUCAAAAUCAACCACCCACAAAGUGUGCCGGUUCGAGUCCGGCCGAGGGCACCA
This 86-nucleotide transfer RNA is filed under the name Sphingobacteriia bacterium. RNAcentral's name for it is "tRNA-Leu". It matches the Rfam family "tRNA". Rfam says of the family: Transfer RNA (tRNA) molecules are approximately 80 nucleotides in length. Their secondary structure includes four short double-helical elements and three loops (D, anti-codon, and T loops). Further hydrogen bonds mediate the characteristic L-shaped molecular structure. tRNAs have two regions of fundamental functional importance: the anti-codon, which is responsible for specific mRNA codon recognition, and the 3' end, to which the tRNAs corresponding amino acid is attached (by aminoacyl-tRNA synthetases). tRNAs cope with the degeneracy of the genetic code in two manners: having more than one tRNA (with a specific anti-codon) for a particular amino acid; and 'wobble' base-pairing, i.e. permitting non-standard base-pairing at the 3rd anti-codon position. The record is from RNAcentral. Lineage: Bacteria; Pseudomonadati; Bacteroidota; Sphingobacteriia.